UAAGCGAAUAGUGAAAUCUUGUGGCUCAACCAUAAGGCUAUUGUUCGAACUGGCAAACUCGAGAAUGGAAGAGGUAUCUGGAAUUCCCAGUGUAGGAGUGAAAUCCGUAGAUAUUGGGAGGAACACCAAUGGCGUAGGCAGGAUACUGGUCCAUUUCUGACACUAAGGCACGAAAGCGUGGGGAGCGAACGGGAUUAGAUACCCCGGUAGUCCACGCCGUAAACUAUGGAUGCUA
This 235-nucleotide ribosomal RNA is filed under the name uncultured Candidatus Saccharibacteria bacterium. RNAcentral describes it as "partial 16S ribosomal RNA". It matches the Rfam family "Bacterial small subunit ribosomal RNA", at positions 584 to 818 of the family's 1533-position model. The record is from RNAcentral. Lineage: Bacteria; Candidatus Saccharimonadota.